Molecule: ribosomal RNA, 212 nt
Filed under: uncultured bacterium
Lineage: Bacteria
Description: partial 16S ribosomal RNA
Rfam family: Bacterial small subunit ribosomal RNA
Source: RNAcentral
GUUCGGACUGUAGGCUGCAACUCGCCUACACGAAGCUGGAAUCGCUAGUAAUCGCGGAUCAGCACGCCGCGGUGAAUACGUUCCCGGGCCUUGUACACACCGCCCGUCACACCAUGAGAGUCUGUAACACCCAAAGCCGGUGGGAUAACCUUUAUAGGAGUCAGCCGUCUAAGGUAGGACAGAUGAUUAGGGUGAAGUCGUAACAAGGUAUC